This 253-nucleotide ribosomal RNA is filed under the name uncultured bacterium. Its description in RNAcentral is "partial 16S ribosomal RNA". It matches the Rfam family "Bacterial small subunit ribosomal RNA", at positions 524 to 776 of the family's 1533-position model. The record is from RNAcentral.
UACGUAGGGUGCGAGCGUUGUCCGGAAUUAUUGGGCGUAAAGGGCUCGUAGGCGGUUUGUCACGUCGAAAGUGAAAACUCAGGGCUUAACCCUGAGCCUGCUUCCGAUACGGGCAGACUAGAGGUAUGCAGGGGAGAAUGGAAUUCCUGGUGUAGCGGUGAAAUGCGCAGAUAUCAGGAGGAACACCGGUGGCGAAGGCGGCUCUCUGGGCAUUACCUGACGCUGAGGAGCGAAAGUGUGGGGAGCAAACAGG